ACGCAUUCUAGAGCCUAAUUCAUUCCAAUUAACAAUUGAAAUUACAUUCAAAUCCAAAUUCUAAAUCCUAGUUCUAAGAUUUAUCCUAAAAUAAAUUUAUUGUAAUCCAUCUCUCCUUCCAUAGGCUGCACCUUGAUCUGAUUUACAAUAUAACUAUAUGUCAGAAUUAUAUAUUUUCAAAAAUAAUUUACAACGACGAUAUACAAGCAAAAUGAAAGUUUUAUUAAUCGUGGAUUAUCGAUUACAGGACAGAUUCCCCUGAUUGGAAUAAAAAACCGCCAAAUUUUUUGAUUUUAAAGAACAUAACUUACAUUUAUCAGGUCUUAAUUCUCCACAUCUAGAAUAAUGGGGUAUCUAAUCCCAGUUUAUUACCCAGAUUUCUCAACCUCAUAAUCAAAAAUUUAGUUAAAUAGAAAAUAGGAUUUCACCCAAUAUUUCACCAAAAUAAAAAUUAAUUAUUAUUAAUUAAGAAUAAACCGAAAAAAAAUAAUAGCAUUAUUUGUUUAACCGCA
Molecule: ribosomal RNA, 512 nt
Filed under: Dematochroma sp. JGZ-57
Lineage: Eukaryota; Metazoa; Arthropoda; Insecta; Coleoptera; Chrysomelidae
Description: partial 12S ribosomal RNA
Source: RNAcentral